Molecule: ribosomal RNA, 527 nt
Filed under: Thamiocolus niveus
Lineage: Eukaryota; Metazoa; Arthropoda; Insecta; Coleoptera; Curculionidae
Description: partial 16S ribosomal RNA
Rfam family: Bacterial large subunit ribosomal RNA
Source: RNAcentral
AAACAUGGCCUUUUGAGUUUUAUUUAAGGUCUAACCUGCUCAAUGAGUUUUAAAUAGCCGCAGUAUCCUAACUGUGCAAAGGUAGCAUAAUCAUUAGUUUUUUAAUUGAAAGCUGGAAUGAAGGGUUGAAUGAGAAAAUAACUGUCUCUAUAAAAGUUUUAUAGAAUUUUAUUUUUAAGUUAAAAAGCUUAAAUAUUAAUAAAAGACGAGAAGACCCUAUAGAGUUUUAUACUUAUAAAAAAUUUAUCUUUUAGUAUUUUAAAAUAAAUUUUUUUAUGGUAUUUGGUUGGGGUGAUUAGAAAAUUUAAUAAACUUUUCUUUUAGUAAAUACAUUUAUUUAUGGAAAUAUGAUCCUUUAUUUAAGAUUACAAGAUUAAAUUACCUUAGGGAUAACAGCGUAAUUUUUUUUGAGAGUUCUUAUCGAAAAAAGAGAUUGCGACCUCGAUGUUGGAUUAAAAUAAAUUUUUGGUGUAGAAGCUAAAUUAAUUAGGUCUGUUCGACCUUUAAAAUUUUACUUGAUCUGAGUU